This 661-nucleotide ribosomal RNA is filed under the name uncultured archaeon. RNAcentral's name for it is "bacterial SSU rRNA". It matches the Rfam family "Archaeal small subunit ribosomal RNA", at positions 691 to 1352 of the family's 1478-position model. The record is from RNAcentral.
CCGACGGUGAGGGGCGAAGGCUGGGGGCGCAAACCGGAUUAAUACCCGGGUAGUCCCAGCAGUAAACGAUGCCAGCUAUGUGUUGCUGGAACCAUGGGUUCCAGCAGUGCCGAAGGGAAGCCGUGAAGCUGGCCACCUGGGAAGUACGGUCGCAAGGCUGAAACUUAAAGGAAUUGGCGGGGGAGUACCACAACCGGUGGAGCCUGCGGUUUAAUUGGAUACAACGCCGGGAAUCUUACCGGAGGGGACAGCAGUAUGAAGGCCAGGCUAAAGACCUUGCCAGAUCAGCUGAGAGGAGGUGCAUGGCCGUCGCCAGUUCGUACCGUGAGGCAUCCUGUUUAGUCAGGCAACGAUCGAGACCCGCAGUCUUAUUUGCCAGCAUGCCCUUUGGGGUGUAUGGGUACAAUAAGACGACCGCCAGCGCUAAGCUGGAGGAAGGAGCGGGCUACGGUAGGUCAGCAUGCCCCGAAUCCUCCGGGAUACACGCGGGCUACAAUGGUCAGGACAAAAGGUACCGACCUCGAAAGAGUGAGGUAAUCCACAAACCUGAUCUCAGUCCGGAUCGAAGGCUGCAACUCGCCUUCGUGAAGAUGGAAUCGGUAGUAAUCGUGACUCAGAAUGUCCCGGUGAAUAUGUCCCUGCUCCUUGCACACACCGCCCG